This 180-nucleotide long non-coding RNA is filed under the name Bos grunniens (domestic yak). RNAcentral describes it as "lncRNA (ENSBGRG00000017652.1)". The record is from RNAcentral. Lineage: Eukaryota; Metazoa; Chordata; Mammalia; Artiodactyla; Bovidae.
CCCAUGCCUGGAGCUGAGGCCAGAUGUGGAAGGCUCACAGGAUCCACAAGGGAGCUACUUGUGCAGGGCUCACUCUCGACUCCUUCCCACGGCUCCACAAACCAACGUGUCCAACUCAGCUUUCCAGGGCUUCAUUACAAGGUUACCUGGGCAGAGCAGGGAGAGACCAGAGGAGACAAU